Molecule: ribosomal RNA, 253 nt
Filed under: uncultured bacterium
Lineage: Bacteria
Description: partial 16S ribosomal RNA
Rfam family: Bacterial small subunit ribosomal RNA
Source: RNAcentral
UACGUAGGGUGCAAGCGUUGUCCGGAAUCAUUGGGCGUAAAGCGCGCGUAGGCGGCUGGGUAAGUCUGUUGUGAAAGUCAAAGGCUCAACCUUUGAAUGCCGAUGGAUACUGUCGAGCUAGAGUCCGGAAGAGGCGAGUGGAAUUCCUGGUGUAGCGGUGGAAUGCGCAGAUAUCAGGAGGAACACCAAUAGCGAAGGCAGCUCGCUGGGACGGUACUGACGCUAAGGCGCGAAAGCGUGGGGAGCGGACAGG